GACAUUUGCAGCUUGCAAAACUGGCAGGAAAUAAAGUUGUAGCGACUUGUGGAGGAAAUGAAAAGGCAAGGCUUUUGAAAGAAUUGGGGGUUGAUCGAGUCAUAGACUAUAAUACUGAAGAUGUCAAAACUGCUCUCAAGGAGUUUCCUAAAGGACUCGACAUUGUGUUCAAAUGUGUUGGUGGUGACAUGUUUGAUUUGUGCAUUAAUGCUUUGGCUAUCCGUGGACGACUCAUUGUGAUAGGAAUGAUCUCUCAGUAUCAAGGGAAGCAUGGAUGGAUGCCGUUUAAUUACCCUGGACUUGUUGAGAAGCUUUUGGCCAAAAGUCAAACUGUGGCUGGCUUUGUCCUGUUUCAGUAUAGCCAUUUCUGGAAACAACACCUGAUUAGACUCUUUCAUCUUUAUUCUUCAAGAAAGCUUAAGGUAGU
Long non-coding RNA from Hibiscus syriacus, 427 nucleotides. RefSeq lists it as uncharacterized. The transcript has 4 exons. NCBI's taxonomy places the organism in Eukaryota, Viridiplantae, Streptophyta, Magnoliopsida, Malvales, Malvaceae. The record is from RefSeq and is a predicted model, not a curated record.